Molecule: ribosomal RNA, 503 nt
Filed under: uncultured bacterium
Lineage: Bacteria
Description: partial 16S ribosomal RNA
Rfam family: Bacterial small subunit ribosomal RNA
Source: RNAcentral
AACGAACGCUGGCGGCACGUUUUAAGCAUGCAAGUCGAAUGGCAGUGGGGGCAACCCCAUAAGAAUGGCGAACGGGUGAGUAACACGUAGGUGAUCUGCCUGACGGUCGGGGAUAGCUUGUGGAAACACAGGGUAAUACCGAAUGAGCUGACGACGCUUUGGCGAUGUUAGUAAAGGUGCUACGGCACCGCCGACAGAGGAGCCUGCGGCUGAUUAGCUAGUUGGUGGGGUAAAGGCCUACCAAGGCGACGAUCAGUAGCCGGCCUGAGAGGGUGUACGGCCACACUGGGACUGAGACACGGCCCAGACUCCUACGGGAGGCAGCAGCUAAGAAUCUUCCGCAAUGGGCGAAAGCCUGACGGAGCGAUGCCGCGUGAUCGAUGAAGGUCGAGAGAUUGUAAAGAUCUUUUCCACAUGAGGAAUAAGGAUCGGAGGGAAUGCCGGUUUGAUGACGUUAGUGUGGGAAUAAGCCCCGGCUAAUUACGUGCCAGCCGCCGCAGUAA